RNAcentral lists this ribosomal RNA (252 nucleotides) under uncultured bacterium. RNAcentral describes it as "partial 16S ribosomal RNA". It matches the Rfam family "Bacterial small subunit ribosomal RNA", at positions 29 to 289 of the family's 1533-position model. The record is from RNAcentral.
ACGAACGCUGGCGGCAUGCCUAAUACAUGCAAGUCGAGCGGUGCAGCAAUGCAUAGCGGCGGACGGGUGAGUAACGCGUGGGCAACCUGCCUCAAAGGUUGGGAUAACACCCCGAAAGGGGUGCUAAUACCGAGUGUGCUCUAGGUGCCGCAUGGCAUAUAGAGGAUAGGAGAAAUCCGUUUUUGAGAUGGGCCCGCGUCUGAUUAGCUAGUUGGUAGGGUAACGGCCUACCAAGGUGACGAUCAGUAGCCG